GGCAAAGGAGCAACUGAGGAGACAGCCCUGCCAGUCCAGGUCCACAAGGCGGUGGACUGUCCUCAGCAGCUGGCCGACCUGCAAAGACAGAGACAGGUGGAGAUGGUGAAGAGGUAACAGUGCUAGGGUGUAGCUACUGAUCCUAUACUACAGCAGAGAGCAGGAGAAAGAGGGAGGAGGGAUGAGGGACAUCAGGUGUCAGAGCACCGCAACCCCAGUUGAGGCUACAUCGCCACGACAGCUGGCUCCGGCCGU
Long non-coding RNA from Myripristis murdjan (pinecone soldierfish), 255 nucleotides. RefSeq lists it as uncharacterized. The record is from RefSeq and is a predicted model, not a curated record. Lineage: Eukaryota; Metazoa; Chordata; Actinopteri; Holocentriformes; Holocentridae. The transcript has 3 exons.